Triticum dicoccoides is the source of this 492-nucleotide long non-coding RNA. RefSeq lists it as uncharacterized. The record is from RefSeq and is a predicted model, not a curated record. Lineage: Eukaryota; Viridiplantae; Streptophyta; Magnoliopsida; Poales; Poaceae. The transcript has 3 exons.
GGUUGGCUCGGCAUUCGCCUCUCUUCCACACAAGCUCGGCGCGGCGGCUGCUCUGUUAUUUCAGACAGGCACACCACGACGGCGAUUCCCCGCCAGCGAGAUGUCGACCGACGGCCUCGAGCUCGACGGGACGGGGGGAACACACAUCGCCGGAUGGAAUUGUACUGUGUUCCGAGUGGAAUCCCAGGAUUCCAUGAGUGCGCCAGCUCUAUAGACGGAGAAGGCCGGCGAAGCUCAGGAAGCUGGAGAUGGGCAGAGAUACGAGACACCGUUUCAGGGUUUGGAUUGGGAAAGCACCGGAUGAGAGGGAAAUACACCCGGAUACGAAGACAUCACUUGGAUUGUCUGUACGCGCUUAUGUAGAGAAACAGAAUGGCCAUGUUGUCAAUCCUACAAUUGGCACAAGUUUUGACUUGUUAGAUGAGGGUUAUGAAUUCUACAACCUUGACUCAUGGGAAUGUGGUUUCUAGCAAAAAGUAGAUUGAAUGUUCA